UACGGAGGGUGCUAGCGUUGUUCGGAAUCACUGGGCGUAAAGGGCGUGUAGGCGGUCUGUUAAGUCUGAUGUGAAAUCCCCUCGCUCAACGAGGGAACUGCGUCGGAUACUGGCAGACUCGAGUACCGGAGAGGAAGGUGGAAUUCCCGGUGUAGCGGUGAAAUGCGCAGAUAUCAGGAGGAACACCGGUGGCGAAGGCGGGUCUCUGGGCCGAUACUGACGCUGAGGAGCGAAAGCGUGGGGAGCAAACAGG
This 253-nucleotide ribosomal RNA is filed under the name uncultured bacterium. Its description in RNAcentral is "partial 16S ribosomal RNA". It matches the Rfam family "Bacterial small subunit ribosomal RNA", at positions 524 to 776 of the family's 1533-position model. The record is from RNAcentral.